GAGCUCACUUUGGUAGCACAUACACUAAAACUGUACAGAGAAGAUUAAUGUGGCCCCCGUACAAGGAUGACAUGCGAAUUGGUGAGGCAUUCCAUAUUUUC
RNAcentral lists this small nuclear RNA (101 nucleotides) under Tursiops truncatus (common bottlenose dolphin). Lineage: Eukaryota; Metazoa; Chordata; Mammalia; Artiodactyla; Delphinidae. The record is from RNAcentral.